UAAAUUGCAAGUUUUUUUCGGCACAACUUGGUUCCUCUACUCGUCGCAAGAUGGCGUUGGCAUUAUUAAAAUAAACAAGAAUGACGUGCAUUUGCGUCGGUGUAGACCCAUCAUGAAAACGUAGAUAUGAUAAUUUUAUAUUUAAAAAAAGCUAACGUGACAUAAAUUUGACAAAUGUCUAAAAGAAAUAUAGUAUCUUCUGUGUAAUAUCUUCUUCCGUGCACGUGUGAUUUAUUGUUUAGUCAAUUUAAAUAUCACUCUAAGUAAGAACUGUUAGACAAAACACUCGUAGCAUAAUUGUAUAUUUCAAUAUAUCACAGCCAUACAUUUUUAUAUUCUUUCAGGUGAUUCAGCUUACCCACAGAGGCAAACACUACUGAUGGAUGCACUGACUUUUGGAUGCACCUGUAGGAUCUCCAGAAGCUCGUUAUACCGCUUUACAAGUUCGAGCCCGCAACUGUAUAGAGCGGUGUUUUGGGCGACUAAAAAUCAGUUGGUAGUGUUUGUCGUCAAUGGAGAAACUGCACUACAAGCCAGCAGCGGCAGCUAAGAUCGUUAAAACGUGUUGUGUGCUUGACAAUAUAGCUAACAAAGCGAAUUGUGAACUGCCUCCGCUGAACCGACACGAAGAACAGGAGCAGCAGCAGGAGCAGAGAUUAGCGGCGGAGUUUGACGCCCGUCAGCAGAAUGCUGAUAUUUAUUUGGCAAUGGCUCCUGACAGGUGUUGGCUAAACAAAGAGCUGCAGCUGGGUCGCGCUGCUCGUCAAGCGCUUGUCCGGCAGUUAGCAAAUUAUUGAUUCUUCAUCGGACCAAGGCCGAUUUGUCCAGGACCAAUUUUCGGAUCUCCUGGGCUUCCUGGAACAAGGACUAGUGAUUGUUUCGAGGAGCUGUCAUGGUGUUGGCUCUUGAUAUUUUAUCGUGAAACGCAGGAAUGCGGAGCACCUUGCUACUACUAAAAUGGAGAACCCGGACCUGUUAGCGACAUGGAACUGACCAGGACCGUCGUGGGCUCCUCAUGUGCCACCCCCGGAUACCUUUUCUGAUUGUGGUGUUUACAGUACAGUAGUGUACAUAUUCAUGAAAAAAAAAUUGUAGGUACUUUUUUUACAUUUUUAAAAAACGCACUCUGCAUGGUUUUGGAGUUUCGACUUCGUGCUAGAUAAAAACCCCCAGGCAAGAGCAAACAAUUUUUUUUCCUAGCCUAUAUUUGUGACCCACUGCAAAGGCCUCUCUUUUCUUCCGCCACCCAUCACGUUUUGCCGCCUGCUUCGGCUAGCCGCAGCAAAAUACGUCGAGGUCAUCUCGCCUCGUUUUUUUUGGUCUACCUCUGCCCCGACUAGUCGGGUGGUGUCCAGUUAGCAAACUAUACACCCUGUUUCUAUUUUAAAUUAUAUGUGUUGUAUUCUUUUCUUGUACAAUAAAGUGUUUACUUACUUACUUUUUUGAAUUCCGUUAACUUUAAGGGAAGGUUCUUUAGAUUAAAUACGAUUAAUUUCUCAAAAAAGCUAGCGUCUUGACUGUUACGUUUACCGAGUUUGAAAAAAUAAUAGUUAUUUGUUUUACAAGGGGGCAAAGUAGUUGUUUAACUGGACGUGCCAAUAUUGAUACCUGAGCAAGGGAAAGAUUUCAAUAUUGAACCGCGAGCGUAGCGAGUGGUUCAAAAAGUGGAAUCUUGAGCGUUGCGAGGGUAUCGAGACACGAAGGUAAAAGGAACUUUGCCACCGACUAUAUAUAUAGAGCAGCGAAGUGGUCCAAUGAUAGCAACCUUCCCCUAAUAACUCUUUCAUUAGAUUUUUAUAAUAUUAGGUAAAAGACAUGGAGACAGCCAAUUUUUGGCUUCACUUUUUAACGUGCUAAUUCUAUAGAGCCAGGUUUCUGGGCUCUCUGGUGAUUCUGUGUUUUAAACACAUCUUUAGAAUAAAAGCUUUACCUUAUGUCAAAAAAGUAUUUUAUUUGAAUAAAGGUAUUUUGAAGAUACCUAUUUUGCAUUUUGUAUUUCAAAUACCUUUUUCUAAAACUAUUUUGUAUUUUUAUUUGAAAUAGGUAAAAAACCAAAGUAUUUGCAUUUUGUAUUUAAAUACAUUGCUGGAGAGCAUCACUUUGUUUUUCUGUCAAUGAAAAGAAGAAUAUAGUAACUAUGUAUGAAGUCCAUGUAGAGGCACUGCGUUUCAAUAUUAAGUAUCAGUGUGAGAUAAGAUUUUUCAAAAUAAUAGUCACGAUAUUUGUUUAAUUUGAUAGUCACGUGUAUUUAAAUUGUAGUAAGUAUCUACAUUAGUUCAGAGUUUAUUGCUGGGUGUGGCCAUACUGUAGAUAGAGCUCUUUCUUGUACUGUGCCCUUAGGUUCCCCCUUUGUAAUAAUUGCAGUGGUUCUUCAAAUCAUACAUGCGGUAAAUAAUGCGGUCGUGGCACGGAAUAUCUACUAGCUGAAGAAGAGUUACUGUCAAAGUAAAAUGUGUAAUCACAGUGCCUAUACUGCUAUCUCUCGACACAGGCUUAAAACUUUUGAACCACAGUUUUGAAAAUUUGACCCAUAUUCUUAGCUUGAUAUGAGUUAAAGUGUAAAAUACUAAUAUUGGCGCCAUCUAGCCGAGCACCCCCCAAAGGUGUAAAGCCAUCUAAGCCACCGUACCUUUUUCUUUAUAGUUCUGAGUUUGGCCGUUUUCUUCCUAUCUGUCUAU
This 2678-nucleotide unclassified non-coding RNA is filed under the name Leguminivora glycinivorella. Its description in RNAcentral is "uncharacterized LOC125238757, transcript variant X1". Lineage: Eukaryota; Metazoa; Arthropoda; Insecta; Lepidoptera; Tortricidae. The record is from RNAcentral.